ACUGUCUUGGCCUCCCAUUCAUCUUGCUUUCCACCUGACCAAAAUUACUCAGCCAAGUCCCUAAUGAUUGUAUUUCCUUCUCCUCUAUUAAAAUUGGGGUCAACCUUAACAUCUGUGAGCCAUGUUCAGAUUUAAUUAAGAUACACUUGGUUUGGUCCACAACCACUUAUAAAUUUUAAUUAAGCUGGAUAUAUAUUAAACUGAAUUAUUUUACAAGAACCAGUGCAUUUGAUAAGAAAUGUAAUUAUCCGUAUUUGAAAUGCUACAGUUUUAUAUUCUGAAAUCCCGAUUUUAAAAGAAAACUCAUUUUAGGUCAACUUUAGUCUUGAAUAAGCAUUGAUGAAUGAGGCCAUUUCUGGCUUUGAUUUCAAUUAAUAUUAGUCUUCUUCCAUUAUUAGAAAAAUAUUCAUUCAUUCUUUCUUUCAACAGUGAGGGUCUAUUUAGUACCAGGAACUAUGUAAGUCAUGAUAUUGGAAACUCACGUUUUAGAUUCAUAAUGGUCUUCCUUUAGCCUUGCUUUUUGUCUUCACAGCCUUCAUGAGUUGAGUUAGUUAUCCGCUUAGGUAUAAGUGGAUUAUCUUUUCAUUACUCACGUACACAUGUAACUCUAUUAGUAUCCAGAAAAAAGUUUGGGUAAAAGGUGUCUAAACAUCUCACUCAAAGAAGAAAAGAUAUCCUCUUUCUUUUUCCUUUCCUUUCCUUUCCUUUCCUUUCCUUUCCUUUCCUUUCCUUUCCUUUCCUUUCCUUUCCUUUCCUUUCCUUUCCUUUCUUUUUUUUUUUUUUUUAAGUGAAGUCUGUGUCCAUUUAGGGAGGUGAGAGAAGGCUGUAUAAGGAAGAGAAGAUCUCUGGACUGAAUUGUGUUUCCCUGCCCCCACCCACCAAUUCAUAUGCUGAAGCCCUAACCCCCAAUGUGACUGCAUUUGGAGAUAGCACAUGCAUCAGUUAGGAGGUAAUUGAAAUUAAAUGAGCUGAAAUGUGGGGUCUUAAUGCUGAGAGGAUUGGUGGUUUUAUAAAGAGUGGAAGAGCCAUCAGCCAUCUCUCUUUCCCCAUAAACACACCCACCAAGGAAAGGCCAGGUGAACAUAUGGUAAACAAAUACCUCUUUGCCAGGAAUAGAUAUUUUACCAAAACCCUACCAUGCUGGCACUCUGAUCUUGGACUUGUGGCCUCUGAAAUGGUGACAGAUUUCUGCUGUUAAGCCACCCAGUCUGUGGCAUUGUGUUAUGGUGGCCUGAUCUGACUAAUAUAGCGAGCCUGCAUCUAACCCUUUGGAUGCAUAGAAUUUCCAUGGGCUUUGGCGUUCCGGCCUGGGAGGUGGGCAGCUCUUUUCUCCAGAGCAGUUUUGCCCUUUACUGUAAUAAAUCCCAUGAAGUCAGCUACUUCCUGUUCCUGAGAACAGCACGGAUCCAUCUUAGAGUUCGCGGGACAACCCUUGACAGUGGAGCAAAGCUGACCAGCUUGUCCUUGGAUUGACCUUGACUUCUUAACAUAGCAUCUUGACUGAUUGAACUUCACAGCCUGGACGCUUGUGAUUUACAACACUCAAGUCCUCCACAAAAAGAUAAAUGCAGAAUUCAAUUUAUCAGUUCCUGCAGCUUGCUCCAUUCCUUUAGGGGGAGUUUUUCCAUUAGAAGAGCUAAUAAUCCCUUCCUUUUUUGUGUCCCAUUGAGUCUCAUAUGUCAACAGAUUUCAGAACAUUAAAAAAAAAUCUCAAGUUCAGCUUAAUAUUUGAUGUGACUUUUACACUGCUGAGCCAUGUCCCUCCCUAAAAGCAUGGUUCUUGUCUUUCCCUUGGAGUCUCACCUUCCGUACCUCUUUGAUGCACUAAAAAUGCUCUCUGUGGAUCAAUGGCGAGUACCAGCCCUCCAGACAUAGAGCUGUGACAGAAAAUCAAUGUGCGGUGUGGACAGUUGAGGAGAACCUUAAAUAAUGCCUUAAAAGGUCUGCACUCUGCAGUCCUCCAUCCCAAUGCCCGUAGAGAAUGCCAGUAGGGGUCAUACCUGCUAACGUGUGUAUUCUUUCCUAGUGUGCAGGAGUUUAAUAAAACCAGCAGAUGAAAACUACAGUCAAGUCACAAUUAAAAAGCCUUUGGAUAUAGAUUAUUCUGACACCUUUUUUACCCCUCCUGUCCCUAUGCCAGCACUUAGCAACUUUCACUUGCUGGCAUCAUCUCGUGCCAAGAACAGUGAGGAUGCUCCGAGAAACCCAGUGGCUACUUUCUUCUGGUGUCAGAUGAGAGGGGAAGGGCUAUGGAGUUUGGCAAGUCUCGAGACCUGCAGGAUGAGUCGGCAAGCUGGAGACCCCAGAGAGCUGACGGUUUAGUUCCAGAGUGAGUCUGAAGACCUGAGAAUCACCAUGGCCGCUGAUACAGCUCCAGGCUGAAGGCUGGCAGGCUAAAAAGCGGGAAGAGCUCAUGUUUCAGUUUGAGUCUGAAGGCAAGAGAAACAUCAGCGUCUCAGUCUGAAGGCAGGCGGGUGGGAAGAAUUUCCUCUUACCAGAGGACGGUCAGCCUUUUUGUGCUAUUUAGGUCUUCAACUGAUUAAAUAGGGCCCACCCACAUUAAGGAUGGCAAUCAGCUUUACUGGAUCUCUUGAUUUAAAUGUUUUUCUCAAAAAAAAAAUGUGUAUAAAUGUUUUUCUCAUCUGAAAUAACACAAAACAAAACCCACUUUCACAGACUCAGAAACAUGCAAAAUAAGAUUUGACCAAAUAUUUGGGCACUCCAUGGCCCACUUAAGUUGACACGUAAAAUUAACCAUUAUGCAUGUUUUUUGUUUUUGUCUCUGAGUUUAAAUAUAUGUCAUGGACAUUUUUUCAUGUCAGUAAAUAGAGAUGAUGAUCAUCUUUUUUUUUAAGUUUACUUAUUUUUGAGAGAGAGAGAGAGAGAGAACAAGUGGGGGAGGGGCAGAGAGAGAGAGAGAGAGAGAGAGAGAGAGAGAAUCUCAAGCAGGCUCUGCACUGUCAGUGCAGAGCCUGACAUGGGGCCUGAACCGAUGAACUGUGAGAUCAUGACCUGAGCCAAAAUCGGAUGUUUAACUGACCAAGCCACCCAGGUGCCCCUAAGGAUGGCCCUUGUGCGAGUGCCCCUGAUCAUCUCUGAUGGCUGCAUAGCAUAUUACUAUUUGACGCACAUCACUUAUUUCCAUUUUCUUGACAAACGCUUGGGUUAUUUUUUACACUUCACUACUAUAUUCGCGUAACGAAGUUUGAUUCGUAUCGCUAAAUUGUCCGCUAAAUAAUUUGUACAAUCUCAGCAGCAAGCAUAGGACUGACUGUAACACCUUCAGCACCACUAAAUGUGUAUUCUUUCAGCAAAUACAUAUUCAGCAUCUACCACGUGCUAAACACUGUGCAAGGAGCGAGGUAUGCAGUAGCGAGCAGAACAGGCUAGGUCCCUGCCCUCAGGAGGCAUCCAUUCUGCGGGGAGAGACCCACAGGAAACAAACAAAAACAUAGCCUGGUAAGGUAACCACAGCACGUGAUAGGGGAGUGAAGGAAAUAAAUGGUGUAACAUUAUAUAAGCAUAGAGCGGUAGAGGGGACUACUGUAGACAGGGCUAUCUAAAAGAUAGAAGGAGAAUUCACUUCAGUCUUGAGGCAGAAAGGAGGAUACCAUGAAGGUGGGGUUUGCCCCGGAUCUUGAAGUACACAAGAUGGUUUUGGGUCAGACAUUUGGUAUGAAGCGUUAUGGAGGUUUUGCAUGACCCGAAUUGUCACAACCCAGGAGUCACUGGAGGGAAAUGGGCCAAUCAGUUUCUUAAACCAACUUUGGAGGACUCAGGCGGGUGUUUUUUCCAGUUCACACCGAAUGCCAAGCUGUCUGAGAUGUGCAGGUUGAAGUAACAGAACCUGAGUGUACCACGUCUUUCUUUUUCCAAUGCCACUUAAUAACUUGGUUUGACUGGUCUGAAUUUGGAUAUUAAUAGAGCCAAUUUUCAGGGCGCCUGAGUGGUUCAGUCAGUUAAGCGUCCAACUUCAGCUCACGUCAUGCUCUCAUGGUUUAUGAGGUCGAGCCCUGCAUCGGGUUCUCAGCUGUCAUCACAGAGCCCUCCUCGGAUCCUCUGUUCCCCCCUCUGUCCCUAGCCCUCUCACACUCUCUCUGUCUCUCAAAAUAAAUAAACAUUAAAAAAAAUAAAGCCAAAUUUUCUAGGUGGUGAUUUUAUUUCUUAGUUCAUUUCUUAGUUUAUUUCUUAGAACAGCAGAGGUCACAGUAGUCUCUCUCAAAGGAUUGAGAUGGAUGUUUGGUCACAGCUCUCCCACCACAGACCUCAGGGCUACAUUGCUUAAUGUCAUGGUGUUUGUAAUCACCUGAGGUUUCAUCUUUCAAACAACUGUUUUUCAAAAACCUGUUCCUGCAAUUAAGCUGCAGUACCACCAGGAGGCAGUAUUGGGAUGCACCCAAGGGCAGGAUAUAAGAAAUUGGCCGUUCAUUAUAUUAUAAAAGCUAAUCUUACUUUUUAAAUUUGAAUUUAGCAUUAACCUGCCAAAUGUGUAAUUACUCUAGAGUGUCUUUGUAAAAUAAAUAGAAGUCUAAGCUGCAA
Long non-coding RNA from Neofelis nebulosa (Clouded leopard), 4539 nucleotides. RefSeq lists it as uncharacterized. Lineage: Eukaryota; Metazoa; Chordata; Mammalia; Carnivora; Felidae. The record is from RefSeq and is a predicted model, not a curated record. The transcript is spliced from 3 exons.